AAUCGAUGCUAUUUCCUAUGUUUAAUCAAUCUUGAAAGGGUAUUAGUAAUUAAGCUCACUCUUCAGUGCAUCCAAAAUCGACCAACACAAAAGGUUUAUCGAAACAGAGGCCUGAGGAGGCAGGUCCCUUCAAUAUAAGGAAUUUCAUCUUCCGUAGAAAAUUUCGCUAGCUUACGCGACAGUUAAUCAUCGGAUUACAAAAAAUGUCGAGGUGGUUGGUAAACAGUAAAAGAGGAAAGGUUCAGGGUGCAAAAAUAGCAGCUUGAAAGCCGGAUUUUACCAUAAAUCGAAAUAUUUUUAUAAAAACAAUAAAUAUAUUUAUUUGAAUUUCUUUAUUUUAGAUUAUUAAAGCCCUUUGGCUUUGAAAUUUAUGAUCCCGCCAUUAAAAUAGGUCUGAUGGCUGGUGUUGAAACGAACAAUGGAGAGGUUGGUAAGAAAGGAAUCAGCCGAAAGUUUAUCCAAGGACUGAAAAUUCUAUAUUCGGCUGGGAUGAUCUGUCAUAGCUGAUAAUGACUUUAUGAAAUGCUAAAGCUAUGGGUUCGCCUCAAUGUUUACAGAAGAUGAACGAUGUAACCAGAAGUCCAACACCUUUUUGCUGUCCUCAAUUAAAUAAGAAGAACUUUUAAAAAUUAACAAUGGUAAAAAUCUAAAGAAAAAUGAUCCACAUUCUAUGCCGGUGACGCAUCCCAUUCAAGUUGAAGUUAUACUCAUCAAUCUUUCAAUGUGCUACAAUCAGCAGACAACGAAAUUCCAGGACAAAGCAACUGUAAGUUCUUUAUCCCAAUUUUCUAACAAAAAGACUCAGGCAUACCUUACAUUCCUUUUUUUACAAUGGGAAGCUAGCGCGGAUAUUACCAUCUACAGCCACUCCCAAUGCGAGAAGUUUCUUAAGCAAGUUUUUUUUAAACAGCAAAAUAAGUGAGUGAUACCUGAUUGAUUAAUACGAUUUAUCUUGUUAUAAUACCAUCAGGUUCUUCCCAUUCUUUACAAGAAGCCAAGGUUUGAGAUAUGGGAAUACCCCGGAAAGUAUCGCACAUUUUUUAAAAUUACUGUUAUUCAAAUAAAAAUGAUUGAAUCAUAUUUUUACAGUUUUUGAAUCAUUGAAUGGCCUUGAUCACUCGUGUUUCUACCAUUUAUUUACAUUUUCUACUUAGCAGCAGAAAUUAACGACCAGGGUAACAUGUUACUUAGGCAUGGUUGAGCAACAUACCGUUCGUAUAGAUAUUUGGCAAAUACCACAUGUGCCACGAUUGAGUUAAAUUUUGAAAACUUUUUCAGAUUGCUGGUAUUAUACGAAAAGAUCGAUAUCUGUUCCUAUAGCUCGUUUUCUC
Non-coding RNA from Schizosaccharomyces pombe (fission yeast), 1331 nucleotides. The record is from the annotation of a GenBank genome assembly. NCBI's taxonomy places the organism in Eukaryota, Fungi, Ascomycota, Schizosaccharomycetes, Schizosaccharomycetales, Schizosaccharomycetaceae.